CGAACGCUGGCGGCAGGCCUAACACAUGCAAGUCGAGCGAGACCUUCGGGUCUAGCGGCGGACGGGUGAGUAACGCGUGGGAACGUGCCCUUUGCUUCGGAAUAGCCCCGGGAAACUGGGAGUAAUACCGAAUGUGCCCUUCGGGGGAAAGAUUUAUCGGCAAAGGAUCGGCCCGCGUUGGAUUAGGUAGUUGGUGGGGUAAUGGCCUACCAAGCCGACGAUCCAUAGCUGGUUUGAGAGGAUGAUCAGCCACACUGGGACUGAGACACGGCCCAGACUCCUACGGGAGGCAGCGUGGGGAAUCUUAGACAAUGGGCGCAAGCCUGAUCUAGCCAUGCCGCGUGAGUGAUGAAGGCCUUAGGGUUGUAAAGCUCUUUCAGCUGGGAAGAUAAUGACUUACCAGCA
Molecule: ribosomal RNA, 405 nt
Filed under: alpha proteobacterium oral taxon F12
Lineage: Bacteria; Pseudomonadati; Pseudomonadota; Alphaproteobacteria
Description: bacterial SSU rRNA
Rfam family: Bacterial small subunit ribosomal RNA
Source: RNAcentral